CCUCUCCCUCGCCAGAAGAUGAAGGGAGAGAGAGGAGAGAGGGUAGGGAUCCAUCUCCGGCCUCUACCCUCACAGU
This is a small nucleolar RNA of Macadamia integrifolia, 76 nucleotides long. RefSeq annotates it as small nucleolar RNA SNORA17. The transcript has a single exon. NCBI's taxonomy places the organism in Eukaryota, Viridiplantae, Streptophyta, Magnoliopsida, Proteales, Proteaceae. The record is from RefSeq and is a predicted model, not a curated record.